Hypanus sabinus (Atlantic stingray) is the source of this 1514-nucleotide long non-coding RNA. RefSeq lists it as uncharacterized. The transcript has 3 exons. The record is from RefSeq and is a predicted model, not a curated record. Lineage: Eukaryota; Metazoa; Chordata; Chondrichthyes; Myliobatiformes; Dasyatidae.
ACCCUCAGUCAUAAACCCGCCGACAUAUUCCCAAAGGUCACAUGCCACUUGCAAUUGAACCCCUGGCACAAUGAGAUCUCGUCACCUCAGGACUAUACCAGUUCAAUGAUAAACCUGACAAUUACCGUGCAUGGUACUCCACAUUCACCAACGCUAUCGAUGGAAUCCAGCUCAAAGCAACCCAAGAGUUGGAUCUUAUGGCGAAAUGGCUGGGAAAAGAAUCAUGUGAACAGGCAUUUGCAAUGGAACAAAGAAAUACAAUAGAAUAAAUGGAAAACUGCACCUAAGUAUUGACAAUCAAUUGAUGUGCAAAAGAAAACAGUCUGUGAAACUACAAAAAAAUUCUACAACUGGGGACAAUCUGCAUGGACAAUUAACCCACAUUUUUUUGGGACAUGGAAGGAAAAUGCAGCACCUGGACUAACUCACUCAGUCACUGGAAGAACGUGCAAACUCUACAUAGACAGCACCCAAGGUCAGGAUUGAACCUGUAUCGCUGGAGUUGUGAGACAGCAUCUGUAUUUGCUAUUCCACUGGGCUGCCUAUUGUGAUAAAUCUGAACAUCAUGCAGUCAUUGCUCUUCAAGCAAGAUGAUCAUCUUUGAUACACUUAACCUUGCCUAUUGUAAUGAAACAAUAGAAUGGAAUGCUUUGAUGGGCGGUUUCAGAGGCCAGUCAGAAUCAGCUACGUUACAGGCCAGAGGGGGUGAUACUGGAAUCAGAAUCAGAAUCAAGUUUAUUAUCGCUGCCUUAUUUGUCAGGAAAUUUGGUGCUUUUCAGCAGCAGUACAGUGCAAAAACAUAAAAUUACUAUAAAUUACAAAAUUGGUACCAUAAUUGAUACUGCUGUGUUACUACAGGUUUAGUUAAAAACUUUCAGUUGUAGAUAUGGGCAUAGAAAUAGCAGAUGGAGUUUAGCCCAGAAAAUUGUGAGGUGUUCCACCAUGAUAGGGCAAUGCGAGGAGACAGCACACUGUUAAGGGCAAAAUCCGUAACAGUGUUGCUGAGCAGAGAGAUCUUGGGAUCCAAGUUUACAGCUCCUUGAAAGUGGCUACACAGGUCGAUAAGGUGGUUAAGAAAGUUAAUGGAAUGCUUGCUUUUAUUUGUCCAGGCAUUGAUUUCAAAAGGCAAGGGUUAUGUUGCAACUUUAUAAGAUUCUGGUUAGGACACAUCUGGGGUAUUGCAUACAGUUGUGGUUGCCCAAGGCUUUGGAGGGGGUGCAGAAGAGGUUUACCAGGAUGCCGCCUGGACUAGAGGGUGUGUGCUAUCAUCAGAGGAUGGAUAAACUUGGGCUGUUUUCUCUGGAGCGCCGGAGUCCGAGGGGAGAUGGGAUAGAGGUUUACAAGAUUAUAAGAGACAAAGAGAGAGUGGACAGAGGGUAUCUGUUUUCCAGGGUUGAAAUGUCUCAUAAAAAGGGCAUGCUUUGAAAGUGAGAGGGGUAGGUUCAAGGGGGAUGUGGGGGGUAAGUAUUUUACUCAGAGAAUCGAGGAUGCCUGGAAUGCGCUGCCUGGUAUGG